CGCAUCUGUGCAUGCAGCAUAUCAAUAAGCGGAGGAAAAGAAACUAACAAGGAUUCCCCUAGUAACGGCGAGUGAAGCGGGAAGAGCUCAAAUUUGAAAUCUUAAAGGGUUUCCCUUUACGAAUUGUAGUUUAAAGAAGUGUUUUCUGUUGAGGUUUUGGUAAAAGUUCUUUGGAAUAGGACAUCAUAGAGGGUGAGAAUCCCGUAUUUGACCUUUACUUUCAACUUUGUGAUACACUUUCAAAGAGUCGGAUUGUUUGGGAAUGCAGUCCAAAAUGGGUGGUAAAUUUCAUCUAAAGCUAAAUAUUGGCGAGAGACCGAUAGCGAACAAGUACCGUGAGGGAAAGAUGAAAAGAACUUUGAAAAGAGAGUUAAACAGUACGUGAAAUUGUCAAAAGGGAAGCGUUUGACACCAGUGUUGUUUUUCUGAAAAUCAAUUAAAGAACUGUUUAUGCUAAGUUGUCUAGACUUUAUCAGCUAACUGUUUAGUUUUGAGCUUUUCUUUAAUGCACUUUUCAGUUAACAAGUCAACAUCAAUUUCUUUUGCUGUAAAAAAGCUUGAGGAAGGUGGCUUGAGAUUCGUCUUAAGUGUUUAUAGCCUCUUGCCUAUGCAGUCGGAGAGAUUGAGGUCUGCAGCGUAGAUCCUUCGGGGCUGAAUGCAUUUGUGCUAAGUUAUAGCAUUUUAUAGACAACUUGUUGACUAUGAUUUGUCUUGUAGCUUACUCGCUUAUGUUAUUUUACCUACGCUUAGGAUGUUGAACGCGCACAGAGUCUC
This 774-nucleotide ribosomal RNA is filed under the name uncultured Neocallimastigales. RNAcentral describes it as "partial large subunit ribosomal RNA". It matches the Rfam family "Eukaryotic large subunit ribosomal RNA", at positions 26 to 635 of the family's 3401-position model. The record is from RNAcentral. Lineage: Eukaryota; Fungi; Neocallimastigomycota; Neocallimastigomycetes; Neocallimastigales.